This is a long non-coding RNA of Etheostoma spectabile (orangethroat darter), 76 nucleotides long. RefSeq lists it as uncharacterized. The record is from RefSeq and is a predicted model, not a curated record. NCBI's taxonomy places the organism in Eukaryota, Metazoa, Chordata, Actinopteri, Perciformes, Percidae. The transcript has 3 exons.
GGCAAAGUGAGAAAAAAAUCAACAUAACAAAAGAUAAGUCCAGGCUUCCUCAGGCUUGUACAGUCCAACAGGAGGG